UCCCGAGGCGUUAGCUGGGGACUCUGCUGCGGAAAGUUCCCAAUCCCCAGCCGCAGGUAAUGGAGAGGGAAUAGAGAGGUUCCCCUGUUUGCAUCAGCAAAUGCGAAAACAUAAUAGCAACAGCAGCGGUAUCCUCUCUCCGGAGCGGGGUUUCCAAUGACGCUAACAUUCUUUUUCCUUUAAGUAUUGAAUGGUCCCCUGCGGCUUCCUGGUAAUGAAUGACCUGAGAGUAACACCGCCACAACCUGCGAGAAAAGGAGAGCCCUUUCCCCAACCCGAGAUCUGCAGGAUUGAAAUGAAAUAUUUAGAGUUCUUCCAGCUGACUCAUCAGAACCCUGGAGCAUUUUUUAAAUGACGAAAAUGGAAGAAAAGAACUUUAAAACAAUUUUAAUAUGGAAAGAAAUAAUCAAAGGAAGAUGAUUAUGGAAUCUCAUUUACCUACUGAAAUUAUAAUAUAAUUUUGAAGAUUGGAUGCAAAUAAUAAAUGAAGAAAACUAAACUAACAACAUUUAACUAGGCACCAAGACAUAAAAAUCAGUAAUGACCUUUUCUUAUGUUUGUGUUUUAUUUUAAA
This is a long non-coding RNA of Zalophus californianus (California sea lion), 574 nucleotides long. RefSeq lists it as uncharacterized. The transcript has 5 exons. The record is from RefSeq and is a predicted model, not a curated record. NCBI's taxonomy places the organism in Eukaryota, Metazoa, Chordata, Mammalia, Carnivora, Otariidae.